Rattus norvegicus (Norway rat) is the source of this 431-nucleotide non-coding RNA. NCBI's taxonomy places the organism in Eukaryota, Metazoa, Chordata, Mammalia, Rodentia, Muridae. The record is from RefSeq and is a predicted model, not a curated record.
ACUAGAAAGCCAAGGAAACCGGAUUCUCCAAGUCGCGCUUGAAUUUCGCUCGCUCCCGCCUUACCCAGGCUGGGCGUAGGAACUAGACCGGUAGAACCAACCGCCUGCCGCGAGGCUGGCCAAUCCCGGAUCUGGUGCUCGAGCGCUGUUUCCUGAGCCCCGCCCAGGAAGGUCUUGCGCCUGCGCAGUUGAGUAUUGGCUCUCGCUUGCUACCUUAGCUAGUGUGGCCCUUCAUUUUGAGCUGCUGAAUCAUGUGACCGGUGUUGAUUUCACUCCCAGGCUAACCGCGCGGCGAUGAGUGUGAAUGUUUGAGUACUGAGAGCGAGGGAAAGGAGUUGAGAGAGUCUAUGACCAGCUGCUUCCAGCUCUUGAGUUCCCGCCAGAAUGGACUGCCUUGAACUGUGAACUAAAAGAAACUUUGUCCUCUUUAA